AAAACUUUCAACAACGGAUCUCUUGGUUCUGGCAUCGAUGAAGAACGCAGCGAAAUGCGAUAAGUAAUGUGAAUUGCAGAAUUCAGUGAAUCAUCGAAUCUUUGAACGCAACUUGCGCCCCCCGGUAUCCCGGCGGGCAUGCCUGUUCGAGCGUCAUC
This 158-nucleotide ribosomal RNA is filed under the name Lecanactis abietina. Its description in RNAcentral is "5.8S ribosomal RNA". It matches the Rfam family "5.8S ribosomal RNA". Rfam says of the family: 5.8S ribosomal RNA (5.8S rRNA) is a component of the large subunit of the eukaryotic ribosome. It is transcribed by RNA polymerase I as part of the 45S precursor that also contains 18S and 28S rRNA. Lineage: Eukaryota; Fungi; Ascomycota; Arthoniomycetes; Arthoniales; Roccellaceae. The record is from RNAcentral.